GCAUGACCUCCAGACAUUGCUCUGGCAGCCUUCCCCCAAUUUGCUCUCAAGCGUGUUCAGAUCAGUACUCAGCCAAACUCAGAAGGAAUCCUCCUCAAAUCUCCAGAGUUUAUUCUCUGUGCAGUUUCAUCUAUUUUGGUACAUUGCCUUAGAAAUGUCACCAUCUUGAUCUCCUCACACUUUGAUAUUGAUUUUCUAAUUUUGUUAGGAGUGUCAAGUUUUCAGGGCAUCCCUUCGCUGGAAACACUAUGGCCUACAAAAUGGCUCUAACCGAUAAGAAAGAGUCCUAAAGCUUUUAUCUAUUUUCCUUCUCCCAGUAAUCAAUCCUAUGUGCCCUGUUGUCAAAUGUCUGAAAAUCACUUUUUCAUCUAUUUUGUCAAAUCUUGUAGUUGUUUAUAAUUGAAGAGAAAAUCCUGCUGGUUUGUCAAAGAAAUUCCAACAUCUUCUGUGAAUGUAUUUGAAGCAGCAUUUAUCCCACCAUUCUGCUGAAACUCUACAUCAAGGCCACCAGGAGCUCCAGACUGGUAAUCCAAUGCUAUCUGUAUUUAAGAUUCACGAAAGAUUGACUUUGCUCCAGAAUGCAUACACUACCAUCAAUGACAAAGAAGCUGCAGAAUUUUGAACCACUCCACAGCCGCCUCCUGCCUCUGG
This 651-nucleotide long non-coding RNA is filed under the name Chinchilla lanigera (long-tailed chinchilla). RNAcentral describes it as "lncRNA (ENSCLAG00000023204.1)". The record is from RNAcentral. Lineage: Eukaryota; Metazoa; Chordata; Mammalia; Rodentia; Chinchillidae.